Molecule: ribosomal RNA, 440 nt
Filed under: uncultured bacterium
Lineage: Bacteria
Description: bacterial SSU rRNA
Rfam family: Bacterial small subunit ribosomal RNA
Source: RNAcentral
CCUACGGGGGGCUGCAGUGGGGAAUAUUGCACAAUGGGGGAAACCCUGAUGCAGCAACGCCGCGUGAGCGAUGAAGGCUUUCGGGUCGUAAAGCUCUGUCCUAAGGGAAGAAUACUGACGGUACCUUAGGAGGAAGCCCCGGCUAACUACGUGCCAGCCGACGCGGUAAAACGUAUGGGGCUAGCGUUAUCCGGAAUUACUGGGCGUAAUGGGUGCGUAGGCGGCCCUUCAAGUCAGCGGUGAAAGGAUACGGCUCAACCGUAGUAAGCCUUUGAAACUGUAGGGCCUGAGUGCAGGAGAGGAGAGUGGAAUUCCCCGUGUAGCGGUGAAAUGCGUAGAUAUUGGGAGGAACACCAGACGCGAAGGCGGCUCUCUGGACUGUAACUGACGAUGAGGAACGAAAGCGUGGGGAGCGAACAGGAUUAGAUACCCUGGUAGUC